ACUGUUGUUAGGUUUACUGCUUUAAGGUUGUUGUAUUUUGUAGAACUUUCUUUCUUUCUUUCUUUGCUUAGACUUGUAUAUAGUGGUUUGACUGGUUGGUUGGUUGGUUGGUUGGUUGGUUGGUUGGUUGGUUGGUUGGUUGGUUGGUUGGUUGGUUGGUUGGUUGGCUGGUGGUUGGUUGGUUGGUUGGUUGGUUGGUUGGUUGGUUGGUUGGUUGGUUGGUUGGUUGGUUGGUUGGUUGGUUGGUUGGUUGGUUGGUUGGUUGGUUGGUUGGUUGGUUGGUUGGUUGGUUGGUUGGUUGGUUGGUUGGUUGGUUGGUUGGUUGGUUGGUUGACAAGGAAAAAUCUAAAAUAUAUUCUAUAGUUUGUAGCUGACUGGAUAACUCAGUAGUUUAGGUAUCUCACUGCAGAAUCAGAGACUGGGAGUUCAAUUCCCCAUUAUGUGUCCUGGGAGAAGAGCCAGCCUGUGUGACUUUGAGCAACCUGCACAUUCCCAGGGUGCCUCUCCAGGAGAAGGGAAUGGUAAACUACUUCUGAGUAUGCUCUACCUAGAAUACCCUGAAAAAGGUCACCAUAAAUCAGAACUGACUUGACAGCACAUGGUUAUUAUUACAGUAUUACCUAUACAUUAGCCUAUGCUAUUAGCGUAUGCUAAUGUAUUCAUCCUCCAGGUUGUAUCACAAUGUUUUCUGAGCAGCCAUGUUUUAUUUCAAAUUAAAUUCCAACUUCAUUUGUUUUUAACAUUUAACUUCAAAAACAUUUCAUACAAAUCAAUUAGUCAGUUAUUUAAUUAUUUACUUAUAUGAUCACUGAUUCCAUGAAACAUAGCCCUGUUUCUAAAUCUAGAGGUCUCUCUCAACUAUAGUGUUUUCCUCAUAAAGGUUCACUUGUAUUGGCAAAAAUAUCCACAUUGUGUGAGAGUUUAAUGUCUGAAAAGUCAAUGUCACAAUGAGUAAGCUUUACAAAUGUCCAAGGGACCUUUUCCCCACUCUUAGGAAACUUAGGUUUUGCUGGAGCAUGCAGAAUGUCGGAAUAGAUUCCAAGCAUGUCUAAGAAUAAAAGGGUGAAACAGUCUUUGGGGAAGAAAGAA
RNAcentral lists this long non-coding RNA (1089 nucleotides) under Pogona vitticeps (central bearded dragon). RNAcentral describes it as "lncRNA (ENSPVIG00000008628.1)". Lineage: Eukaryota; Metazoa; Chordata; Lepidosauria; Squamata; Agamidae. The record is from RNAcentral.